This 497-nucleotide ribosomal RNA is filed under the name uncultured bacterium. RNAcentral describes it as "partial 16S ribosomal RNA". It matches the Rfam family "Bacterial small subunit ribosomal RNA", at positions 28 to 507 of the family's 1533-position model. The record is from RNAcentral.
GAUGAACGCUGGCGGCGUGCCUAAUACAUGCAAGUCGAGCGAACAGACGAGGAGCUUGCUCCUCUGACGUUAGCGGCGGACGGGAGAGUAACACGUGGAUAACCUACCUAUAAGACUGGGAUAACUUCGGGAAACCGGAGCUAAUACCGGAUAAUAUAUUGAACCGCAUGGUUCAAUAGUGAAAGACGGUUUUGCUGUCACUUCUAGAUGGUUCCGCGCCGCAUUAGCUAGUUGGUAAGGUAACGGCUUACCAAGGCAACGAUGCGUAGCCGACCUGAGAGGGUGAUCGGCCACACUGGAACGGGGACACGGUCCAGACUCCUACGGGAGGCAGCAGUAGGGAAUCUUCCGCAAUGGGCGAGAGCUUGACGGAGCAACGCCGCGUGAGUGAUGAAGGUCUUCGGAUCGUAAAACUCUGUUAUUAGGGAAGAACAAAUGUGUAAGUAACUAUGCACGUCUUGACGGUACCUAAUCAGAAAGCCACGGCUAACUACGUG